Molecule: long non-coding RNA, 699 nt
Organism: Armigeres subalbatus
Lineage: Eukaryota; Metazoa; Arthropoda; Insecta; Diptera; Culicidae
Exons: 3
Source: RefSeq, a predicted model, not a curated record
CUAACUGUCACAUUUGGCGGGGAAAAUAUGUUCAUCGGAAACCUGAGAUAUCGGAAACUAAAGGGAAAAAGUAUAGAGUUCAACAAAUGCCGGACUCCGGAAUUGGUUGACGAAAUAAAAGUACUGAGGAAACAAGCAACGAAGGAUAAGUUUUCCUUGAUCCUACAGGGUGAGAGAAAAGCCUCGAGAAUACUGUUUACUCAGGCUCAGCAGAUCACUCAACCCGGAGAUGUUGCCUCCAAAAAGGUAGCGCAAACGUGAAGCGCAACCGCCACCAUCGUCCCGGUCAGUUGGAACGGUCAAAUUAGCACGCACCGCCACAGAAAACACCAUAAUUACCGACAGUAUGCCGCACAAUUCAUAUGCCUCAAAAUGCUCCUCCAUGCACCACUAUAAACGACGAGCGUUCAUCAACAAAAUUGGAAGCCGUCGCGUGAGUCCAUCUGCAAUGGCCCUGAUUCCAUCACCAUUAAUUCUCAGCUCAUCUUCCAGCCUUCACCCAUGCACUACAAGGAGGAUCCAGUUCGACCAUCAGCAGAAAUGACAACUGCCGUCGGAACUCCCGAAGUUUGUAUAAUGCUAAUGCACCGUUAAUCGAACCCUUUCGACUGAGGAGGAACAGUGUCCGGUUUGUCUAGCUUAGUUCAUAAGAUUGUAUUUUGUCUGUUUGUUAAAAAACCCAAAAAUGAAUAAAAUAAG